AAUAGAUACCCGGGUAGUCCACGCCGUAAACGAUGAGUGCUAGGUGUUGGGGGUAUCAUGCCCUCGGUGCCGAAGUUAACACAUUAAGCACUCCGCCUGGGGAGUACGGUCGCAAGACUGAAACUCAAAGGAAUUGACGGGGACCCGCACAAGCAGUGGAGUAUGUGGUUUAAUUCGAAGCAACGCGAAGAACCUUACCAGGUCUUGACAUCCCUUUGACCGUCCUAGAGAUAGGGCUUUCCUUCGGGACAGAGGAGACAGGUGGUGCAUGGUUGUCGUCAGCUCGUGUCGUGAGAUGUUGGGUUAAGUCCCGCAACGAGCGCAACCCUUGAACUUAGUUGCCAGCGAGUAAGGUCGGGCACUCUAGGUUGACUGCCGGUGACAAACCGGAGGAAGGCGGGGAUGACGUCAAAUCAUCAUGCCCCUUAUGACCUGGGCUACACACGUACUACAAUGGCCGGUACAAAGGGCAGCGAAGCCGCGAGGUGGAGCCAAUCCCAGCAAAGCCGGUCUCAGUUCGGAUUGCAGG
This 529-nucleotide ribosomal RNA is filed under the name uncultured bacterium. RNAcentral describes it as "bacterial SSU rRNA". It matches the Rfam family "Bacterial small subunit ribosomal RNA", at positions 777 to 1304 of the family's 1533-position model. The record is from RNAcentral.